RNAcentral lists this ribosomal RNA (173 nucleotides) under uncultured Ascomycota. Its description in RNAcentral is "partial 18S ribosomal RNA". It matches the Rfam family "Eukaryotic small subunit ribosomal RNA", at positions 1661 to 1831 of the family's 1831-position model. The record is from RNAcentral. Lineage: Eukaryota; Fungi; Ascomycota.
UGUACACACCGCCCGUCGCUACUACCGAUUGAAUGGCUCAGUGAGGCCUUCGGACUGGCUCAGGGAGGUUGGCAACGACCACCCCGAGCCGGAAAGUUCGUCAAACUCGGUCAUUUAGAGGAAGUAAAAGUCGUAACAAGGUUUCCGUAGGUGAACCUGCGGAAGGAUCAUUA